Molecule: long non-coding RNA, 255 nt
Filed under: Bos taurus (domestic cattle)
Lineage: Eukaryota; Metazoa; Chordata; Mammalia; Artiodactyla; Bovidae
Description: long non-coding RNA NONBTAT022138
Source: RNAcentral
GGGUAGAGUUUCUUGGUGUACUGCUUGCUUUUUUUGUUCUAAAAUGUAGAUAUGAUAAAUGUGGGAACUAUGAUAAAUAAUGCUUUGUUUUAUUCUUUUAGCAGUCAUAUUCUGCUCUGGCCCAUGAUCUUCAUUUUCUAACUAUUUUAGUGGGUUCGUUGAAUGUUUUCUACUUCCUCCUGUGAUUUUAUACAAUUCAAAAUUACUGUCUUUAACUGAUGGAACCUUUUUGAUGAGACCGUGUUUUAUUGAUCC